CCAGAGGAGCCGGAACUCGGGGUCCCGCUCCUCAGUGCACCCCCAGAGAAAAGCGGUGGAUGUUUGAAGAGGCCAUGCAUGAGUUGCUAGAUCUGCUCAUCCCCGCUGUGGUGAUUGUGAACCUAUGUGUUGAGAUGGAAACUCCAGCAGCCAGAACCCUGAGAGAUGGCAGUGAGCUGAGCCCCAGGUGACCUGUUCUGGACAGGCAGUGUGGAUGGAAACAAACCCUUAUUGUGGGAGUGCUCACCAGUACCUCCCGUGGGUCACAGCUGCUGCCUUAAAGAAGGAUAGCCAGUGUGGAGGAAGGCUGCCCACAGCAAAGACAGAGACUCUCCGAGCUCUGACCUCUUACCAGAGCUGCCUGUAUUCCUCCUCACUCCCUACUGAGCGGGGCCUUGCUGGCUGCGUUUAACCCAGGUGGGAACGGAGCUGGGGAGACACUGAUGGUAUCAAUCAGUGAAC
This is a long non-coding RNA of Zalophus californianus (California sea lion), 462 nucleotides long. RefSeq lists it as uncharacterized. The transcript has 3 exons. The record is from RefSeq and is a predicted model, not a curated record. Lineage: Eukaryota; Metazoa; Chordata; Mammalia; Carnivora; Otariidae.